UGGAAGUGAACCUUGCCAACAGUCAUCUCUCAAGGUGAAAGGAUGAGCAAGAGUAGUUCUCAGUGAACUGCUUUGGGUAGCUCUUGAGCAGUAAGUGAUAUAAAAACCCUACCAAAGUUCUGAAGCACCAGUAGAAUUAGACCCGGGAGCUCAAAAGAGUUGAGACAGGCUCAGACCCUUCAUAUCUUUUAUCCCCUGUGUUGAAUCAGUCACAGGACUGUGAAAAACUCUUCACUCAACUGGUUCCUGGGAGAUUAAUCAGAAUUGUGUCAUUGGGAUGAUUCUUUUCAUCCUUCAUUUGAAACUGCCUGGAAAGGAGUGAAAAAAGUAUCACGAAGGGAGCUUUCUAAAU
Long non-coding RNA from Manacus vitellinus (golden-collared manakin), 352 nucleotides. RefSeq lists it as uncharacterized. The transcript is spliced from 3 exons. NCBI's taxonomy places the organism in Eukaryota, Metazoa, Chordata, Aves, Passeriformes, Pipridae. The record is from RefSeq and is a predicted model, not a curated record.